This 368-nucleotide ribosomal RNA is filed under the name uncultured organism. Its description in RNAcentral is "bacterial SSU rRNA". It matches the Rfam family "Bacterial small subunit ribosomal RNA", at positions 526 to 896 of the family's 1533-position model. The record is from RNAcentral.
CGGAGGGUGCAAGCGUUAUCCGGAUUCACUGGGUUUAAAGGGUGCGUAGGCGGGCAGGUAAGUCCGUGGUGAAAUCUCCGAGCUUAACUCGGAAACUGCCAUGGAUACUAUUUGUCUUGAAUAUUGUGGAGGUGAGCGGAAUAUGUCAUGUAGCGGUGAAAUGCUUAGAUAUGACAUAGAACACCAAUUGCGAAGGCAGCUCGCUACACAAUUAUUGACGCUGAGGCACGAAAGCGUGGGGAUCAAACAGGAUUAGAUACCCUGGUAGUCCACGCCCUAAACGAUAAUUACUCGACAUCAGCGAUACACUGUUGGUGUCUGAGCGAAAGCAUUAAGUAAUCCACCUGGGAAGUACGAUCGCAAGAUUG